RNAcentral lists this transfer RNA (502 nucleotides) under Dolichospermum circinale CHAB5664. RNAcentral describes it as "partial 16S-23S ribosomal RNA intergenic spacer". The stretch from base 280 to 352 matches the Rfam family "tRNA". Lineage: Bacteria; Bacillati; Cyanobacteriota; Cyanophyceae; Nostocales; Aphanizomenonaceae. The record is from RNAcentral.
UAGGGAGACCUAAUCCAUUUAGAAAUCGAAAGCAGUGAAAAUUGCCCAUAGAAACUAAAUUGGUCUAACCUAGGUCGGUCGCAGACUUGAAGUAAAGCUUUCAAACUAUGAUUUGGUUCGAUAAGGGCUAUUAGCUCAGGUGGUUAGAGCGCACCCCUGAUAAGGGUGAGGUCCCUGGUUCGAGUCCAGGAUGGCCCACCUGAAGGAAGUCAAAAAUCAAAAGUCAAAAGUCAAAAUUAAAUAUUUUUGAAGCAUGACUAGAAAUUUUGAGUUUUUUUUGGGGGUUUAGCUCAGUUGGUAGAGCGCCUGCUUUGCAAGCAGGAUGUCAGCGGUUCGAGUCCGCUAACCUCCACAUUGGAAAAAAGACAGCAACUGAAACUGUGAGAAUAGUUUUUGACUGCUGGGUGAGAUUCCAGCCAGAACCUUGAAAACUGCAUAAGAGAACGAGAAAAAGCAGGCAGACACAGACAUGAAGAUGGAUGUGAAAGCCAAGAAAAAUUGU